UACGUAGGUGGCAAGCGUUGUCCGGAUUUAUUGGGUUUAAAGGGUGCGUAGGCGGCUUUGUAAGUCAGUGGUGAAAUACUCCAGCUCAACUGGAGAGGUGCCAUUGAUACUGCAGAGCUAGAGUACUGAUGAGGUAGGCGGAAUGGACGGUGUAGCGGUGAAAUGCUUAGAUAUCGUCCAGAACACCGAUAGCGAGGGCAGCUUACUAAAGAGUAACUGACGCUGAGGCACGAAAGUGU
This 239-nucleotide ribosomal RNA is filed under the name uncultured bacterium. RNAcentral describes it as "partial 16S ribosomal RNA". It matches the Rfam family "Bacterial small subunit ribosomal RNA", at positions 524 to 762 of the family's 1533-position model. The record is from RNAcentral.